UUAUAACGCGGUGGUCGACGACAGAAAGCCCAUUUGUCGUUUGAUCCAACGCAUUGCUUUAAAUAAACGACCAGCAUAACGCCUCCUGCGAUGUGAUUUUUACAGUUUAUAAGCCGCCAUUCCUCGACAUAAUCAGUUAUCGUUUAUCGUUGAAGUACCGUUAUUCAAGAACCCCCAAAAUAAAAAGUAUCCCCAGCGAAAUGUUUACUGCUCUUCUGGUCUCAAGGAUGAUUUUCGCCGCUCUCUUGUCCUCUUUGGGAUGUAAUUUUCUGUUUGGUCGAUAAGACAUUGCAAGAAAAUUAAGGAAAGAAAAUCACAAUGAGGAACCUUUUUGGACUUCGUAUUGCAUCUCCUCCCUACAGCACAAGUGUGUUCUUGAAAUUCUAGGUCACCAAUGACGGGGAAAAAGAUAAUGCAAGCUGCAGAAUAUAAUGGGGAACCAAGAUGGUAUGCUUCAGUAAAGGAAAAGGAAAGGUGAUUUAUUCUGUGAAUAUGGUCCCAAUUUUUCUCCAUACUAAAAGUGAGAUUGAAGCAACUUCUUGUUACUUGUAUCUUGAAAUGGUGAGAUUGUUGUUGAGAGCUUGAAGGUCCCAUUUGAGUUAGAGAUUACCAUCUCCUACUGCAACCAUGUGGUCCAGCUCAAAAAGCUGUCCAUUAAAGAACAAGUUAUGAUUAAAAGGUACAAUGCAUUAUGCAUAGCCUUGUCAGUGAUCACUGUUGUUUUUGAUUUUAUUAUGUUUUUAGUGGUAAUGGAGAGCUGCUGAUGCUAAGUGGGAGUUUCUGUCUAUUGUGAUAAGAUUUAAGGAUUUUUCAUUGGGCUGGCCUUGAAAAUUGAAAUAUGCCUUUUCUUUAAAGUUGCCAA
Molecule: RNA transcript, 862 nt
Organism: Jatropha curcas
Lineage: Eukaryota; Viridiplantae; Streptophyta; Magnoliopsida; Malpighiales; Euphorbiaceae
Source: RefSeq, a predicted model, not a curated record